UCUGGGAUUAUGGCUCAGUAUGCUAGUUUUUAAGAGUUAAAAGUAUGUUAAAAUUUUACAAUCAAAACCCAAUAAUAAUAUUAGAGCCAUCCUUGUUAUAUUCAAUCAAACAACAUAUUAUUAUUGUAAUAUAGAUUAGAUCUAAUUCAUAUGAUGCCAUGAUGAUUAAUUGAUUAGAUACAUCAAUUCUUGAAAAUACAAAAUUAUUUUGUCCAUGAUCAAGUGUUUGAUUAUAAUUUCAGUUACUAAAUUUAGAAUUUACUAUUUUUUGUAAUUUUAUGGAUGCUAUAAGUUUAUUCAUGGUAGAUA
This 309-nucleotide long non-coding RNA is filed under the name Elaeis guineensis (African oil palm). RNAcentral describes it as "long non-coding RNA (EGUI_LNC046977)". Lineage: Eukaryota; Viridiplantae; Streptophyta; Magnoliopsida; Arecales; Arecaceae. The record is from RNAcentral.